Molecule: ribosomal RNA, 439 nt
Filed under: uncultured bacterium
Lineage: Bacteria
Description: partial 16S ribosomal RNA
Rfam family: Bacterial small subunit ribosomal RNA
Source: RNAcentral
CCUACGGGUGGCUGCAGUCGGGAAUUUUGGGCAAUGGGGGCAACCCUGACCCAGCAACGCCGCGUGAGCGAUGAAGGCCUUCGGGUCGUAAAGCUCUGUCGGGAGGGAAGAAGGCUCUCGGGGUGAAUAAUCCCGGGGGAUUGACGGUACCUCCAAAGGAAGCGCCGGCUAACUCCGUGCCAGCAGCCGCGGUAAUACGGGGGGCACAAGCGUUGUUCGGGAUCACUGGUCGUGAGGCGGAUGUCCGCGGGCCUAACCCCGGAACUGCACUCGAAACUGCCUCGCUAGAGUCUCGGAGAGGGUGGUGGAAUUCCCGGUGUAGUGGUGAAAUACGUAGAUAUCGGGAGGAACACCAGCGGCGAAGGCGGCCACCUGGACGAUGACUGACGCUGAGACGCGAAAGCGUGGGGAGCAAACAGGAUUAGAUACCCUUGUAGUC